Non-coding RNA from Sus scrofa (pig), 72 nucleotides. Lineage: Eukaryota; Metazoa; Chordata; Mammalia; Artiodactyla; Suidae. The record is from Rfam.
UCCCUGGUGAUCUAGUGGUUAGGACUCAGCACUCUCACUGUUGAGGCCCAGGUUCAACUCCUGGUCUGGGAA